RNAcentral lists this ribosomal RNA (303 nucleotides) under Triticum aestivum (bread wheat). RNAcentral's name for it is "partial small subunit ribosomal RNA". The record is from RNAcentral. Lineage: Eukaryota; Viridiplantae; Streptophyta; Magnoliopsida; Poales; Poaceae.
AUGGAAUCCACAGUACAAUAUUGUACUUUUAUCAAAUUGCAUAAAUCAGUGUACUAUUUUCAUGAAUAUUAUGCAGGGAGCUCCAUUCUACCUUGGUUGCUUCAAAUAAAAAAUCUGCCGACUGAAAGUAUGUCAGUUGGUUAUUGGUGCUCUUGGCCCUUUAUGCUUAUUGGUUAUUUGCUUCAUGUGGUUUCCAUUUUUAACUACAUGGGCAAUUUUAAUUUCAGUGUUUAUAUAUCUAUCAGUUCUCGUGCUCAUUGUAGAUUAUGCAAUACAAUUAUGUUCAGAGGAGCUUUAGAGUAA